GAUGAACGCUGGCGGCGUGCUUAACACAUGCAAGUCGAACGGAAAGGCGCGGCUUAUGUGGUGUGCACGAGUGGAGAACGGGUGAGCAACACGGGAGUAUCCUGGCCUUGACUUUGGGAUACCUGGAGGCAAGGGGGGAUAAUACCGGAGAGGCGCUCCUGCUGGAUGUUUGGGGUGGGAAUGGUUCGGCGGUUGGGGAUGGACGCGCGGCUUAUCAGCUUGGUGGUGGGGUAGUGGCUUACCAAGGCUUUGACGGGUAGCCGGCCUGAGCGGGUGACCGGCCACAGUGGGACUGAGAUCCGGCCCAGACUCCUACGGGAGGCAGCAGUGGGGAAUAUUGCACAAUGGGCGGAAGCCUGAUGCAGCAACGCCGCGUGCGGGAUGACGGCCUUCGGGUUGUAAACCGCUUUCGCCUGUGACGAAGCGUGAGUGACGGUAAUGGGUAAAGAAGCACCGGCUAACUCCGUG
RNAcentral lists this ribosomal RNA (468 nucleotides) under uncultured bacterium. RNAcentral's name for it is "partial 16S ribosomal RNA". It matches the Rfam family "Bacterial small subunit ribosomal RNA", at positions 28 to 507 of the family's 1533-position model. The record is from RNAcentral.